CCUACGGGAGGCAGCAGUGAGGAAUAUUGGUCAAUGGCCGGAAGGCUGAACCAGCCAUGCCGCGUGAAGGUCAGUGCCCUAUGGGCGUUAAACUUCUUUUGUGCGGGAGCAAUAAUGGUCACGUGUGGCCAGACGAGAGUACCGUACGAAUAAGCAUCGGCUAACCCCGUGCCAGCAGCCGCGGUAAUACGGGGGAUGCAAGCGUUAUCCGGAGUUAUUGGGUUUAAAGGGUGCGUAGGCGGGGGGGUAAGUCAGCGGUGAAAUGCCCCCGCUCAACGGGGUGAAGUGCCAUUGAUACUGCCUGGCUGGAAUGCGGAUGCAGUGGGAGGAAUGUGUGGUGUAGCGGUGAAAUGCAUAGAUAUCACACAGAACACCGAUUGCGAAGGCAUCUCACGAAUCCGCGAUUGACGCUGAUGCACGAAAGCGUGGGUAUCAAACAGGAUUAGAUACCCCGGUAGUC
This 460-nucleotide ribosomal RNA is filed under the name uncultured bacterium. RNAcentral describes it as "partial 16S ribosomal RNA". It matches the Rfam family "Bacterial small subunit ribosomal RNA", at positions 338 to 795 of the family's 1533-position model. The record is from RNAcentral.